UCGACGCUUCUUUCCUCCCGAGUGCUUGCACUCAAUUGGAAAGAGGAGUGGCGGACGGGUGAGUAACACGUGGGUAACCUACCCAUCAGAGGGGGAUAACACUUGGAAACAGGUGCUAAUACCGCAUAACAGUUUAUGCCGCAUGGCAUAAGAGUGAAAGGCGCUUUCGGGUGUCGCUGAUGGAUGGACCCGCGGUGCAUUAGCUAGUUGGUGAGGUAACGGCUCACCAAGGCCACGAUGCAUAGCCGACCUGAGAGGGUGAUCGGCCACACUGGGACUGAGACACGGCCCAGACUCCUACGGGAGGCAGCAGUAGGGAAUCUUCGGCAAUGGACGAAAGUCUGACCGAGCAACGCCGCGUGAGUGAAGAAGGUUUUCGGAUCGUAAAACUCUGUUGUUAGAGAAGAACAAGGACGUUAGUAACUGAACGUCCCCUGACGGUAUCUAACCAGAAAGCCACGGCUAACUACGUGCCAGCAGCCGCGGUAAUACGUAGGUGGCAAGCGUUGUCCGGAUUUAUUGGGCGUAAAGCGAGCGCAGGCGGUUUCUUAAGUCUGAUGUGAAAGCCCCCGGCUCAACCGGGGAGGGUCAUUGGAAACUGGGAGACUUGAGUGCAGAAGAGGAGAGUGGAAUUCCAUGUGUAGCGGUGAAAUGCGUAGAUAUAUGGAGGAACACCAGUGGCGAAGGCGGCUCUCUGGUCUGUAACUGACGCUGAGGCUCGAAAGCGUGGGGAGCAAACAGGAUUAGAUACCCUGGUAGUCCACGCCGUAAACGAUGAGUGCUAAGUGUUGGAGGGUUUCCGCCCUUCAGUGCUGCAGCAAACGCAUUAAGCACUCCGCCUGGGGAGUACGACCGCAAGGUUGAAACUCAAAGGGAAUUGACGGGGGCCCGCACAAGCGGUGGAGCAUGUGGUUU
This 915-nucleotide ribosomal RNA is filed under the name Enterococcus faecalis. RNAcentral's name for it is "bacterial SSU rRNA". It matches the Rfam family "Bacterial small subunit ribosomal RNA", at positions 62 to 947 of the family's 1533-position model. Lineage: Bacteria; Bacillati; Bacillota; Bacilli; Lactobacillales; Enterococcaceae. The record is from RNAcentral.